GAGGGCUGUCUACGUCUGUCGCGUAGAGUCAGGCCGCUCUCUGGCCACUCGGCGGGGCGGGUUUCAGGGGGUGCGGCGGGGACCCCGAGUUUAGGGGAGGGUUUGGCGACCCCAGCGAGCGUCCUAACUCAUCCUAACGCAUUGUGCUCAGCUGUCUCGCCCUCUUUUGGAAAAACGAGCGGGUAGCGGUGGUGGGGAGAGACGUGGAAGGGAGAAGUACACAAAGUUUAAUUUUAAAAAUUCAGUUGGUGAGCUUCAUGUCGGGGACACCCUGUGUCGCGUAAGGGAGGUAACGGGAGGGCCCGCCGGGACCCAGAUAGUCUGACUCUGUGACCUCUCGAGGCAUCGGCAUCUGUUGCAUUAAUUUGGACAAGGAAGAGGAGGUCCAUUCCAGGUGCCUGGGGAGUCUGUGGCUGGUUUCUAAACUGUUGCAGGUGAACAUGGCCUUGAGGUAAAUCCUGCCCCUUGUUGAAGUCUAGUUUCAGCAGAUUAUUUCUGGCUAACGUGGAAUUGGAAUAUUUUAUAAGAAACUCAAGUUUUAUUUGCUUCUGUCCUAGACUUAAUUUUUCUUCUUGUAGAAGAUGAGAACCAGUUUAAACAGAAAUUCUUUAUGGUAAAUAAUUAUGAUGCUUAAAUUAAAUGGAUUUUAAAUGUCAAAGCCACUUGUAGAUGGUUUUAUUCUUGGUCAAAUAAAAAGUUACUAAAUUC
Eptesicus fuscus (big brown bat) is the source of this 708-nucleotide long non-coding RNA. RefSeq lists it as uncharacterized. NCBI's taxonomy places the organism in Eukaryota, Metazoa, Chordata, Mammalia, Chiroptera, Vespertilionidae. The record is from RefSeq and is a predicted model, not a curated record. The transcript has 2 exons.